GAAAACGAUAUCCCCAAUGUUAAUUAACUAGACGUACCUUUGAUAUGAUUCUUGGCAUUCUAAUAUUAAUAUCAAAGAUAUUUUCGGUUAUGUCUAUUCUGUGCAUAUGGUUGACACACCUUUCAAUUUUAGGCUGUGACGCGGUUCGCUAGCGGCCGAUUUGCAAGCCCUCGAGUCCAUUUCAGUAUAAUUCUCUGAUAACGUCG
RNAcentral lists this long non-coding RNA (206 nucleotides) under Daucus carota (carrot). Its description in RNAcentral is "long non-coding RNA (DCAR_LNC000689)". Lineage: Eukaryota; Viridiplantae; Streptophyta; Magnoliopsida; Apiales; Apiaceae. The record is from RNAcentral.